UGGGCGGGACGGGUGAGUAAUGUCUGGGAAACUGCCUGAUGGAGGGGGAUAACUACUGGAAACGGUAGCUAAUACCGCAUAACGUCGCAAGACCAAAGAGGGGGACCUUAGGGCCUCUUGCCAUCGGAUGUGCCCAGAUGGGAUUAGCUAGUAGGUGGGGUAACGGCUCACCUAGGCGACGAUCCCUAGCUGGUCUGAGAGGAUGACCAGCCACACUGGAACUGAGACACGGUCCAG
RNAcentral lists this ribosomal RNA (237 nucleotides) under uncultured bacterium. Its description in RNAcentral is "partial 16S ribosomal RNA". It matches the Rfam family "Bacterial small subunit ribosomal RNA", at positions 100 to 334 of the family's 1533-position model. The record is from RNAcentral.